RNAcentral lists this long non-coding RNA (1549 nucleotides) under Triticum aestivum (bread wheat). RNAcentral describes it as "long non-coding RNA (TAES_LNC003896)". The record is from RNAcentral. Lineage: Eukaryota; Viridiplantae; Streptophyta; Magnoliopsida; Poales; Poaceae.
GGCAACACAUUUUAUAUGAAAUAUUAAAGUUUUAUUAAAAAAAAGGAAAUUUCCACGUUCAACAUUUAUUAAAAUUGGAUAUAAAAUAUGACGAAAAAUGAACCAUCAAGUAGGUUCUACCACUUUUAUCACCCGGUGCAACGCACGGGCAUUUGUACUAGUCUCUACCUACUAAUAAAGCACCGAGUGCUUCUGGUCGUACGUCGUCGCCGUUUUUGCAGAAAACCCCCUACUAUUUUAGUUAUUCAACCCAAAGUACUGUUUUAAGUGGGUAUCUAAAAAAAUGCUUCAUAUUCGUAAAAACACCCCUGCGUUAGUUACAAUUCUACCCCCGAUCCUUUAUUAAACUUCACCACCGGGAACCACCGCCGCUAUCCAUUUGCGUUCCCAUCGCCGGGGCCGCAGCUUGCCGCCGGUGUCCACGCCGUAGGAGCCAAGGAAGGGGCGCCCUGCUGGUUUGCCGGCGCUGGAGAGGCUCGUGGCAGGGGGAGCUCCUCACCUCUGCUUCGGGCACGAGGCGGCUGAAGUGCUGCCGGCGCUGGAGAGGCUCGUGGCAGGGAGCUCCUCUCCUCUGCUUCGGGCACGAGGCGGUUGAAGCGCUCGAAUAGCAGAGCAGCGGGGCGAGGGCGAUGGGUGGCACGGGCGCUGGACGGGACUUUAUGCAGGUCUUCUGCGAGAUGGGGAUGAUGUGGAGGGGGUCUGGACACCGGCGGGUCGCGAGGCGACCGAAGCACUCGUGGUGUAGAGCUGCGGGGCGGGGGCCGAAGGGUGGCGCGGGCGCUGGAUGGGAGACUUGAUGCAGGUCUUCGGCGAGAUGGGGAUGGCGUGGAGGGGUCUGGACGCCGGCGGCGCUCGGGCUUCAGGCGGCCAUGGUCCUCUCUAUCUGCUGAAAAAUAGAAGACAGAGAGAGAUCUUAGAGAAAAGAAGCGCGGGAGAGAGAAGAGAGAUGGAGGAGGGGGAGGGCUCACCGACGGCGCGACUUUGCCGGAGACGCUCGACAACGCGGUGGGCCGUGGGCGUUGACAUGUUGCUCAGGGGCUGCGGGCCGUGGGCGGCGCCUGCUCGCGCGCGAGACCGACCCGUGUCUGAUUUGGAGGUGAAGGGGGGUGCAGCGACGGCGGUGCUCGAGGCUCGAGCUGCGACGGCGGCCUCGAGCGGGAGGAGUGACGGAGCCAAUCUGAUCUGAAAAACCAGAAAAAGGGGCCGAUAGUGGCUGUCGAAGCUGGAGCGCUGGCGGCCGCCGGUGGAGCGCGGAAUCCGCUGGCGUGCGGAGGUGGUGCGGGUGUGCGGGAGAUGCGUGGAGGAGAGAAUCCCGGCGGCAGCAGCGGCGUGUCCUAGGGGGAGUUGGGUUGUUCUGUAACGAGAGAAUGAGGAGAUAAGGUUGCGACGACAGACUCUAUAGGACACCUGGAGUCUGGUUUCUUCUAGGCAAGCCGAUGUGUGACAGCUAGCUAGCGCAUGUUCUUAUUUAUUUUUUUGCGAGGGAGCUAGCUAGCGCAGGUUGACGAUUAAAGUCUCCGAGUCCAUCAUACCGUGUGUUAGCAUGCAG